This 1973-nucleotide long non-coding RNA is filed under the name Malus domestica (apple). Its description in RNAcentral is "long non-coding RNA (MDOM_LNC008739)". Lineage: Eukaryota; Viridiplantae; Streptophyta; Magnoliopsida; Rosales; Rosaceae. The record is from RNAcentral.
GCAUGGAAGGUGACACACCCCGUCCCGAAGGAGGGCAUGCUGGCCGUCACGUGAGAGUGACGUAACCAUUUGCACAGUACGGAAGCUUUAAGAUACAAUUUAAAUUGAUACACCCGAAGGUGAGUCCUAAUUUUUGUCCAAUCUGUCAGAACACCGUCGAAUUCCUCGUAGUCACCACACCUUUGUGAUUCCUGAACCUGGAGGGGCGCAAAACCAAAAUUGAGUGGGUCAGUAAAAACAAUUCUUUUCCAAAUCCAAACAUUUCUCAAAACGUUGUAACCCCCUCUCCGUAAAACCUGUAUACUUUCCCAGAAAUGUAAAAUAUAAAUAUACAUAUAUAUUCUCAAAACUUCAUUUUUACUAUUCUCAACAUUAUCUCUUUAUCAAUCAUGCCAUGCCAUGUCAUCUCAACAUUUCUCAUAUUAAUUAUGCCAUGCCACAUCAUCUCAACAGUAAUAAGGUAUGAAUGCAUCAACAUAAUCAUAUCAGGUGCAAGAAAGUAAUCAACCGUAGGCCCUCUAAUAGCCCUAUACGGUUGAACCUAGAGCUCAAAAAUCUAUCAUUAUCACUCUACCGGAGUCACCUCUGUGACCCGUCCGGCCUUCUGCACACAAGUUACGCUCUAGUGCUUCUCAUAAAUCAUCUGUGCACAUAAUCUAAGGUCACCCACCAGUCGGAAUCUCACUAACACUCUCGCGACUGGUCUGUCGUACCCACUCCGCGUGGACUGUACGACUAGCAUCUACUUGGAUCCAAGGCGAGCGUGCGAUGCGGGUGAAUACUAUAAGCACUAAACCAUGGUGCAGGAUUUGAGCUCAAUAUAUAUCAUCAUCAUCAUAACAGUAAUUAAAUACUCAUCUGUGCGUCCACCGCACCAUUUCAUACAUAUGCAUCAUAAAUCAAUUCUUACCUGUGCGUCCACCGCACCAAUUCAUACAUAUGCAUCAUAAAUCAAUUCUUACCUGUGCGUCCACCGCACCAAUUCAUACAUAUGCAUCAUAUAUUAAUUCAUGCAUGGCAUUUCAACUCACAUUUCUAUAUACUUUUCAUAUCAAUUCUAUGCAUGGUAUUUCACUUCCCGUUUUUCCACAUAACUCAUAUGCAUUUCAUUUUAAACAUAUUUUCAUGCAUUUUCAAUUUCUGGGAAAACGUUAAGUAUAUAUAUAUAUACGGAAAACAAAACUGCCCACUCACCUGGAGUUCAUCCAACAACUCCCUAGCACCACACAUCAAGGCGUCACGACGAUCGCCGCCUAGAAUAGUAAUCAAAUCCAACCUCAGAAUUCAUAUCGAUAGAAUAUUUAACUUAUAUAAAAUACGUCACUACGUAGUUCGAUCCGGAAGAUCUGCCACUCAGAUUUUAAAUCCAUAACUUCCAGAGGUCCACAAUAUAUCUCUAGGACAACAUCCUAAAAUUUCAUUACCAUCCAACGGUCGGAUCUCCGUCAAUUUCCAAAACUAAGUGACGGUUAACAUUUUAUAUUAUGGACUUACAAUUCCAAUUCCGGAAGAUCCGUAACUCGGAUUCCCAAUCCAUAAGUUCCAAUAAUCCUCAAAUAUUACGUACUAUAACGUAUCAAAGUUUGGUGAUGAUCCAACGGUCGGAUCAUCAAUUCACAUUUUCACCUAAAUGUGAAAACUAUAAAACGUUAUUUGAACACCUAACCAACAAUCUUCAAUAACUUUCUCAUACGGUGUUCAAUUUAGGUAUAUGAAUAUACCACAGUGAUCUACUCGACGUCACGGACGUCGACAUAUUUUUAAAAUAAUUUUAUUUUUAUUUUUUAUUUUUACUGUAGCACCUUCUUCUUCCUUGGGUCGCCGGACUGGUUUUUCCGGCGGCCGUUUUCUGAACAGUUUUUCAAAUUGCCAUAACUUUGUCAUUUCUCAACGAAAUCAAGUGAUUCAAAAACGAAAGUUGUAGCCCUUGAAGAGACAAAGAGAAUGGUACCUUGCACAAACACCUAGUUCGC